Molecule: unclassified non-coding RNA, 329 nt
Filed under: soil metagenome
Description: partial contains 5.8S ribosomal RNA, internal transcribed spacer 2, and large subunit ribosomal RNA
Rfam family: 5.8S ribosomal RNA (bases 1-120)
Source: RNAcentral
GAUGAAGAACGUAGUGAAAUGCGAUAAGUAGUGUGAAUUGCAGAAUUCAGUGAAUCAUCGAAUCUUUGAACGCACAUUGCGCCCCUUGGUAUCCCGAGGGACAUGCCUGUUCGAGCGUCAUUUCACCACUCAAGCCUGGCUUGGUGUUGGGCGACGUCCUCUUUGGGGACGCGCCUCGAAACGCUCGGCGGCGUGGCACCGGCUUUAAGCGUAGCAGAAUCUUUCGCUUUGGAAGUCGGGGCCCCGUCUGCCGGAAGACCUGCUCGCAAGGUUGACCUCGGAUCAGGCAGGGAUACCCGCUGAACUUAAGCAUAUCAAUAAGCGGAGGA